UGACAUGCUCGAGCUACUCCCGAAAUCCCCUUUUCCCCUCCCUAACUAUAAUAAUUAGCCUUUAUGA
Molecule: long non-coding RNA, 67 nt
Organism: Aricia agestis (brown argus)
Lineage: Eukaryota; Metazoa; Arthropoda; Insecta; Lepidoptera; Lycaenidae
Exons: 3
Source: RefSeq, a predicted model, not a curated record